UCGAGGAUCUUCCACAAUGGGCGAAAGCCUGAUGGAGCGACGCCGCGUGUGCGAUGAAGGCCUUCGGGUUGUAAAGCACUGUCGAGGGGGAGAAAAGGAAACUUGAUCUACCCCUGGAGGAAGGACGGGCUAAGUUCGUGCCAGCAGCCGCGGUAAGACGAACCGUCCUAACGUUGUUCGGAAUCACUGGGCUUAAAGGGCGCGUAGGCGGUCGGCAAAGUCAGGGGUGAAAUCUUUCGGCUUAACCGGAAAAGUGCCUUUGAAACUAGUCGACUCGAGCGAGAUAGGGGCACGUGGAACUUCCGGUGGAGCGGUGAAAUGCGUUGAUAUCGGAAGGAACGCCGGUGGCGAAAGCGACGUGCUGGAUCUCUUCUGACGCUGAGGCGCGAAAGCUAGGGGAGCAAACGGGAUUAGAUACCCCGGUAGUCCUAGCCCUAAACGAUGAGUACUAGGUUGUGGACUUGACAUGGGUUCACAGCCGAAGCAAAAGUGCUAAGUACUCCGCCUGGGGAGUAUGGUCGACG
Molecule: ribosomal RNA, 524 nt
Filed under: uncultured Planctomycetota bacterium
Lineage: Bacteria; Pseudomonadati; Planctomycetota
Description: bacterial SSU rRNA
Rfam family: Bacterial small subunit ribosomal RNA
Source: RNAcentral